CCUACGGGAGGCAGCAGUGGGGAAUAUUGGACAAUGGGCGCAAGCCUGAUCCAGCAAUGCCGCGUGAGUGAUGAAGGCCUUAGGGUUGUAAAGCUCUUUUACCAGGGAUGAUAAUGACAGUACCUGGAGAAUAAGCUCCGGCUAACUCCGUGCCAGCAGCCGCGGUAAUACGGAGGGAGCUAGCGUUGUUCGGAAUUACUGGGCGUAAAGCGUACGUAGGCGGUUAUUCAAGUCAGAGGUGAAAGCCCGGGGCUCAACCCCGGAACUGCCUUUGAAACUAGGUAGCUAGAAUCUUGGAGAGGUCAGUGGAAUUCCGAGUGUAGAGGUGAAAUUCGUAGAUAUUCGGAAGAACACCAGUGGCGAAGGCGACUGACUGGACAAGUAUUGACGCUGAGGUACGAAAGCGUGGGGAGCAAACAGGAUUAGAUACCCUGGUAGUCCACGCCGUAAACGAUGAUAACUAGCUGUCCGGUCACUUGGUGACUGGGUGGCGCAGCUAACGCAUUAAGUUAUCCGCCUGGGGNGUACGGUCGCAAGAUUAAAACUUAAAGGAAUUGACGG
Molecule: ribosomal RNA, 561 nt
Filed under: uncultured bacterium
Lineage: Bacteria
Description: bacterial SSU rRNA
Rfam family: Bacterial small subunit ribosomal RNA
Source: RNAcentral